CCAGUCUAAAUGAACUGAAAAUCAAAAAAAAGUUCUUUGAAAAGUAGAUAAACAACGUAAAUUCUCAAAAUA
RNAcentral lists this unclassified non-coding RNA (72 nucleotides) under Texas Phoenix palm phytoplasma. Its description in RNAcentral is "16S-23S ribosomal RNA intergenic spacer". Lineage: Bacteria; Bacillati; Mycoplasmatota; Mollicutes; Acholeplasmatales; Acholeplasmataceae. The record is from RNAcentral.